This 250-nucleotide ribosomal RNA is filed under the name uncultured bacterium. Its description in RNAcentral is "partial 16S ribosomal RNA". It matches the Rfam family "Bacterial small subunit ribosomal RNA", at positions 524 to 773 of the family's 1533-position model. The record is from RNAcentral.
UACGUAGGGUGCGAGCGUUGUCCGGAAUUAUUGGGCGUAAAGAGCUCGUAGGCGGUCUGUCGCGUCUGCUGUGAAAUCCCGAGGCUCAACUUCGGGCUUGCAGUGGGUACGGGCAGGCUAGAGUGCGGUAGGGGAGAAUGGAACUCCUGGUGUAGCGGUGGAAUGCGCAGAUAUCAGGAAGAACACCGAUGGCGAAGGCAGUUCUCUGGGCCGUAACUGACGCUGAGGAGCGAAAGCGUGGGGAGCGAAC